Molecule: ribosomal RNA, 891 nt
Filed under: Cryptosporella amistadensis
Lineage: Eukaryota; Fungi; Ascomycota; Sordariomycetes; Diaporthales; Gnomoniaceae
Description: LSU rRNA
Rfam family: Eukaryotic large subunit ribosomal RNA
Source: RNAcentral
UCAAUAAGCGGAGGAAAAGAAACCAACAGGGAUUGCCCUAGUAACGGCGAGUGAAGCGGCAACAGCUCAAAUUUGAAAUCUGGCUUCGGCCCGAGUUGUAAUUUGCAGAGGAUGUUUAUGGUGCGGUACCUUCCGAGUUCCCUGGAACGGGACGCCACAGAGGGUGAGAGCCCCGUCUGGUUGGAUACCAAACCUGUGUUAAACUCCUUCAACGAGUCGAGUAGUUUGGGAAUGCUGCUCUAAAUGGGAGGUAAAUCUCUUCUAAAGCUAAAUACCGGCCAGAGACCGAUAGCGCACAAGUAGAGUGAUCGAAAGAUGAAAAGCACCUUGAAAAGGGGGUUAAACAGUACGUGAAAUUGUUGAAAGGGAAGCGUUUAUGACCAGACUUGUGUCGUGUGGCUCAUCCGAGGUUCUCCCCGGUGCACUCCACACGGCUCAGGCCAACAUCGGUUCUCGUUGGGGGAUAAGAACAGUAGGAACGUGGCCCCUCUCGGGGGGUGUUAUAGCCUAUUGUACGAUACUCUGACGGGGACCGAGGACCGCGCUUCGGCUAGGAUGUUGGCGUAAUGGUCAUUAGCGACCCGUCUUGAAACACGGACCAAGGAGUCGUCCAUUAGAGCGAGCGUUUGGGUGUAAAACCCGCACGCGUAAUGAAAGUGAAAUUAGGUGAGAGCUUCGGCGCAUCAUCGACCGAUCCUGAAGUUUACGGAUGGAUUUGAGUAAGAGUUUUAACGGACGGACCCGAAAGACAGUGAACUAUGCUUGAAUAGGGUGAAGCCAGAGGAAACUCUGGUGGAGGCUCGCAGCGGUUCUGACGUGCAAAUCGAUCGUCAAAUUUGAGCAUGGGGGCGAAAGACUAAUCGAACUGUCUAGUAGCUGGUUACCGCCGAA